This 253-nucleotide ribosomal RNA is filed under the name uncultured bacterium. RNAcentral's name for it is "partial 16S ribosomal RNA". It matches the Rfam family "Bacterial small subunit ribosomal RNA", at positions 524 to 776 of the family's 1533-position model. The record is from RNAcentral.
UACGUAGGGUGCAAGCGUUGCCCGGAUUUAUUGAGCGUAAAGGGCGCGCAGGCGGCUACGCACGUCCGUUGUGAAAUCGCUCGGCUCAACUGGGCGGGGUCGGCGGAUACGGCGUAGCUGGAGCAAGCUAGGGGGCAAUGGAAUUCCCGGUGUAGUGGUGGAAUGCGUAGAUAUCGGGAGGAACACCAGUGGCGAAGGCGGUUGCCUGGAGCUUUGCUGACGCUGAGGCGCGAAAGCGUGGGGAGCGAUCCGG